GCACCGGUAGCUCAGCUGGAUAGAGCGCUGCCCUCCGAAGGCAGAGGCCAGGGGUUCGAAUCCCUUCCGGUGCGCCA
Molecule: transfer RNA, 77 nt
Filed under: Sphingomonas morindae
Lineage: Bacteria; Pseudomonadati; Pseudomonadota; Alphaproteobacteria; Sphingomonadales; Sphingomonadaceae
Also listed under: 1 other name
Description: tRNA-Arg
Rfam family: tRNA
About the family: Transfer RNA (tRNA) molecules are approximately 80 nucleotides in length.
Source: RNAcentral